AUAAGCGGAGGAAAAGAAAUUAACAAAGAUUCCCUCAGUAACGGCGAGUGAAGCGGGACAUAGCCCAGCACUGAAUCCUUUCGGCUCCUGCCGCUUGGACCUGUGGUGUUUGGGGCCCCGGCUUUCGUCCAGUGUUCACGCACCUCAGUCGCAUUGAAGGGGCUCUCGCUCCACAGCGGGUGUCAGACCCUUAUGGCUGCGUGGCCGGACGAAGGUUCCAGGGGACCCUCGAGUCGGGUUGUUUGCGAUUGCAGCCCAAAGACGGUGGUAUGCACCAUCGAAGGCUAAAUAUUUCCACGAGUCCGAUAGCGAACAAGUACCGUGAGGGAACGUUGAAAAGGACCUUCUAAGUGAGAGUCAAAAGUACGUGAAACUGCCUACAGGGAAACGAGUGGCUCCGCAUAGUCGGCCAGUGGUGUUCACCUCGAGUUCGCUCGUGCCAGCAAUCCGCGUGUCAGUACGUCGGCCGAUGAGAUCGCAACAUCAACAUCUUCGGCAUCGACGACUGCGCGCGCUCUGUCUCGGUCGUGCAAUCUCGUGUGCAAUCGCCACACGGCAGGGCGUCACGAUCACUUUCGAGCGAGUCAACGUCUGCGAUGUUGGCGUGCUUGGCGCUUCGUUCCUUGUGGACGUUCGCCUGUGCGCGCGGCUCGUCUUCGAGCUUGCCCGUGAGUGUGUAACGAUACUCGUGCCAUCGUGGGCUGUAAGGUCGCGUCGUCUAACGGUGAACCGUCUUCGUGUGGUACACCUCGAAGUGUGCUCUCGUUUUGGUUCCUGUGGACUAUACCGAUCGGCCUGGCGCGACUUUGUAUCGGUGGCGAAUG
RNAcentral lists this ribosomal RNA (824 nucleotides) under Coccocrater sp. MNHN IM 2013-42894. RNAcentral's name for it is "partial large subunit ribosomal RNA". It matches the Rfam family "Eukaryotic large subunit ribosomal RNA", at positions 46 to 631 of the family's 3401-position model. The record is from RNAcentral. Lineage: Eukaryota; Metazoa; Mollusca; Gastropoda; Cocculinidae.